Molecule: non-coding RNA, 387 nt
Organism: Anas platyrhynchos (mallard)
Lineage: Eukaryota; Metazoa; Chordata; Aves; Anseriformes; Anatidae
Source: RefSeq, a predicted model, not a curated record
GGUGGAAAAGUUCUCUUGAGAAUUGCUUGCUCUCCUGAUAAAGCAUGCAGGAUUUGUACUCUAAGGGACAAAGCAGAAGUCCAAUCAAUCACUGAAAUCAGGAAAAAAAUGAAGAAAAUGCUUCAUUUCUCAUUUUCCAUUGAACUCGGGCAUUUGGGACAUGAUCAUCUUUCCAGUUCUCUUUUCUGGGGAAAUCCUCAUUAGAUAAAAAUAGCUACAGCACUCAAAUGACUUCAGUACUCUCAAGUGAAGAAAUUACUCUUGUAUAGGAACCAACUGGUUAUGCAAGGUUUGUUGGCCAUUUCAAGCCACCUGCUGUUGUGCAUGCUGGAGGCAGCUUUCAUCCAUCGUAAGCUACAAAGACAUUUGAACCCACUGAAGAUUUAU